GAUGAACGCUGGCGGCGUGCUUAACACAUGCAAGUCGAACGGUGAAGGCGGAGCUUGCUCUGCUGGAUCAGUGGCGAACGGGUGAGUAACACGUGAGCAAUCUGCCCCUGACUCUGGGAUAAGCGCUGGAAACGGCGUCUAAUACUGGAUACGAGCUGCGAAGGCAUCUUCAGCAGCUGGAAAGAAUUUCGGUCAGGGAUGAGCUCGCGGCCUAUCAGCUUGUUGGUGAGGUAAUGGCUCACCAAGGCGUCGACGGGUAGCCGGCCUGAGAGGGUGACCGGCCACACUGGGACUGAGACACGGCCCAGACUCCUGCGGGAGGCAGCAGUGGGGAAUAUUGCACAAUGGGCGAAAGCCUGAUGCAGCAACGCCGCGUGAGGGACGACGGCCUUCGGGUUGUAAACCUCUUUUAGCAGGGAAGAAGCGAAAGUGACGGUACCUGCAGAAAAAGCGCCGGCUAACUACGUG
RNAcentral lists this ribosomal RNA (468 nucleotides) under uncultured bacterium. Its description in RNAcentral is "partial 16S ribosomal RNA". It matches the Rfam family "Bacterial small subunit ribosomal RNA", at positions 28 to 507 of the family's 1533-position model. The record is from RNAcentral.